UUAUAAUAUUGUAUGGUAAUGAUGAUAGUGACAUAGCUUUAGAGUUAUGCAUCGGAGUAUUCAAAGUUGUUUUUUGCUGUAGCCUGAAGUCUUGCACAUGAUCUACAUGAGAGCCUUACAAAUAGUAUAUGGAAUUCGACUGGAACAUUUUUACAUGAUGCCAGUGAACUCUGAAGUCAUGUAUCCACAUUUAAUGGAAGGCUUCUUACCAUUCAGCAAUUUAGUUACUCAUCUGUGAGUAAAGAGUGAUUUUAUUGUCUUCGUCUACAUUCGUAUUUAUAUUACAUUAAGUUUUCUUAAUGACAUGGUUUUCUUUGGUAAGGAAUACCUACUAUGUUCCUUUUCAUUUCAUCCCAUAUACAUUCAUUCAAACUUUCAAAAUUGUAGACUGUCAUCAAACAGAACUGCCUCCAACUGUGCCACUUUCUCAGCAUAUUUUCAAUUGAACUUCUAAGAUACUGUAAGUCGAAAAUUGUUUACCGUCUUUGUGAAGAGGUUUGAGUUCUUAAAAGAGUCUUAGUGUCACCAAGUUUAUGUACUAUUUAUUAGAAUCUGUAACUAUACUUUAGUAUUGCAUGACUACAUGAUUAAUAUACAGAAAAAAUAGAUUUCAGUGCUAUAGGGUUAUACAUUAUAGUAGAAUUCUGGCUUCGUCCACUGACCUUAAGAAAUAUAUCCAGAAAUCUCUUUCUGAAAAUAAGAUGUUUAUAUCCUAUAGCUUAGCAUUUAAUGUGCAAAAUACUUUUCAAUAGUCUUUUUGUACUUCAUCUUCAAGGGACUCAUUUUUGCCUAUCUGCCGGGUGAAUGACUUUGAGACUGCUGAUAUUCUAUGUCCAAGUAAGUGAGAAUUUAAAACAGUUUUAAUGUCUGGCUUCGAUCUACCAUUUCACCUU
This 893-nucleotide long non-coding RNA is filed under the name Homo sapiens (human). Its description in RNAcentral is "HSALNT0016703". Lineage: Eukaryota; Metazoa; Chordata; Mammalia; Primates; Hominidae. The record is from RNAcentral.